GGUUGAUCCUGCCAGUUGUCAUAUGCUUAUUUCAAGGACUAAGCCAUGCAAAUGUAAGAGUACCUGUGGUUCACCACAGGGGGGUCUGUGUACGGCUCAUUAUAAGGUUAAUAGUCUACCCAACGAAGGACGUUUUCUUGACGUUCCUACGGGAUAACUGUGCUAACCGUACAGCUAAUACCACGGGAGAAGAUUCCGCGACCAUCAAACCAGUAGAAGGGGAAACUUGACUGCUGGGGUCUCGGAAGCUGUUGGCCGAGACAAAGACCAUCGCCGCUCAAACGGCAGGUGUA
RNAcentral lists this ribosomal RNA (293 nucleotides) under uncultured eukaryote. RNAcentral's name for it is "partial 18S ribosomal RNA". It matches the Rfam family "Eukaryotic small subunit ribosomal RNA", at positions 6 to 250 of the family's 1831-position model. The record is from RNAcentral.